GUGAAUCAUCGAAUCUUUGAACGCAAAUUGCGCUUCCUGGCAUCCCGGGAAGUAUGCCUGUUUGAGGGUCAGUAUUAACAAAAAAUCGGUUUGGUUGCAAAUUGUGACGUUUCCGGAGUUUGGGCUAUCUUAACUUUUUGGUUUAGGGGCCUAAAAUUGAACCUUUUUGCGGCUUUUUUGACGUAAAUUAAUUUUUUUUUUUUUUGUUCGUUUUUAUGCCUAAAAUUCCUUUUAAUGCG
This 239-nucleotide unclassified non-coding RNA is filed under the name Glomeraceae sp. RNAcentral's name for it is "partial contains 5.8S ribosomal RNA and internal transcribed spacer 2". The stretch from base 1 to 71 matches the Rfam family "5.8S ribosomal RNA", at positions 84 to 154 of the family's 154-position model. The record is from RNAcentral. Lineage: Eukaryota; Fungi; Glomeromycota; Glomeromycetes; Glomerales; Glomeraceae.